Manis pentadactyla (Chinese pangolin) is the source of this 631-nucleotide long non-coding RNA. RefSeq lists it as uncharacterized. The transcript is spliced from 3 exons. Lineage: Eukaryota; Metazoa; Chordata; Mammalia; Pholidota; Manidae. The record is from RefSeq and is a predicted model, not a curated record.
CAGGGCUGCGCUCCUGUGGCGCCCGCCCCCUCGCUCCCAGGGUCUGUGCUUUGCUUUAUUAAACUGCUCUGCUUGUACCUGCCCGACCUGCUCGUGAUUCUUCCUCCAUCAGUGUCAAGAGCCCUCUCCCGGGCUGAGGCGGCCUGCGGGCGGCCCUCCCUGGCCCGGCCUGCCCCCGAGGCGGCAGAAGGACGGCUGCCAAGCCGGGCACUUUCUGACCCUCAGGCCUGUGAACACGCUUGCCCGCUGUGGCAGGUGGCAGGCUGGGACUGUGUUUGGAAGCCAUCAUCAAGUACCUGGAGAUAAAUAGGUGUGGUCCGUGGAGGAGCUGGCCACCGAGGACAGCUGGGGCUACGACCACCCUGACUCUGCCACAGAAGCCCAUGGCCAGACCCAGUGCAUGCAGGGCCCUGAGGAGGGAUUCACUGAACUGUGCUUGGCCAUUCACAGUAUGACUGACCCAGCUUUUGGAGAAAACAAUUUUCCCAGGGCUGGGAUGAAACCAGGCUCCACCCUUGAAACAUGAUGUUAAGGGUCUCCCUCUUCUAGUUCAUUCUGCCAGGGCUGCUCAGAGCAGCUGUAUGUGUGCACGUAUGUGAGUGGAUGCAUGUGUGGAUACGUGUGUGCAGAA